UACGUAGGGUCCGAGCGUUGUCCGGAAUUAUUGGGCGUAAAGAGCUCGUAGGCGGUCUGUCACGUCGGCUGUGAAAUCCCGAGGCUCAACCUCGGGUCUGCAGUCGAUACGGGCAAACUAGAGUAUUGCAGGGGAGACUGGAAUUCCUGGUGUAGCGGUGAAAUGCGCAGAUAUCAGGAGGAACACCGGUGGCGAAGGCGGGUCUCUGGGCCGAUACUGACGCUGAGGAGCGAAAGCGUGGGGAGCGAACAGG
RNAcentral lists this ribosomal RNA (253 nucleotides) under uncultured bacterium. RNAcentral's name for it is "partial 16S ribosomal RNA". It matches the Rfam family "Bacterial small subunit ribosomal RNA", at positions 524 to 776 of the family's 1533-position model. The record is from RNAcentral.